RNAcentral lists this ribosomal RNA (460 nucleotides) under uncultured bacterium. RNAcentral's name for it is "partial 16S ribosomal RNA". It matches the Rfam family "Bacterial small subunit ribosomal RNA", at positions 338 to 795 of the family's 1533-position model. The record is from RNAcentral.
CCUACGGGAGGCAGCAGUGAGGCAUAUUGGUCAAUGGACGCAAGUCUGAACCAGCCAUGCCGCGUGCAGGAUGACGGCUCUAUGAGUUGUAAACUGCUUUUGUACGAGGGUAAACCCCGAUACGUGUAUCGUGUUGAAAGUAUCGUACGAAUAAGGAUCGGCUAACUCCGUGCCAGCAGCCGCGGUAAUACGGAGGAUCCGAGCGUUAUCCGGAUUUAUUGGGUGUAAAGGGUGCGUAGGCGGUUUGAUAAGUUAGAGGUGAAAUGUCGGGGCUCAACCCCGAAACUGCCUCUAAUACUGUUGGACUAGAGAAUAGUUGCGGUAGGCGGAAUGUAUGGUGGAGCGGUGAAAUGCUUAGAGAUCAUACAGAACACCGAUGGCGAAGGCAGCUUACCAAACUAUAUCUGACGUUGAGGCACGAAAGCGUGGGUAGCAAACAGGAUUAGAUACCCCAGUAGUC